GCAUUUGAAUUGUAAACUUUUGGACUGUGAACAUUUUAGGCUUUGGACUUUACAUGUGGACUAUAAAUAUUUUGAUUUUAACUUUCUAUUUGAAGCGUAAAUAUUUUAGAUUGUUAAAUAUUCCUUGUACCAUGAACCCUACCAUUGAACUUUCUAUCUAUGAAUCUUCCACAAUAUCCUUGGACUUGAAUUUCUUCCAAUAUUUGAAUAUUGUGUCGACA
RNAcentral lists this long non-coding RNA (221 nucleotides) under Panax ginseng (ginseng). RNAcentral's name for it is "long non-coding RNA (PGIN_LNC016353)". The record is from RNAcentral. Lineage: Eukaryota; Viridiplantae; Streptophyta; Magnoliopsida; Apiales; Araliaceae.